Molecule: long non-coding RNA, 2183 nt
Organism: Dermacentor silvarum
Lineage: Eukaryota; Metazoa; Arthropoda; Arachnida; Ixodida; Ixodidae
Exons: 3
Source: RefSeq, a predicted model, not a curated record
GCACAAACCCUUUUCUGAGAUAACCACUGGGAUGAUUUUAAUGAAAUUUGUUGCACUUGAGAGAGAAAGUUAAAUUCUAGUGACUGUUGUAAGUGGAAUGUUAAUUUAGGGUACGAAAUUUUUCAAAAGUAACUUUCAAAAAUUGGUGGGUUUGAACAAAGAUGGAAGCACGAGGUGUACAAAUUUGUAGGUCUGCAUUAAGAACAGAUAUGGCACUUCUGUAAACUGCAUCCGUUAGAGCAUCCAAAGCGGACAAAUUUGAUACAUCAAUUUACAUCUUACGUGAAUUAGUUACAUUGUUUACAAGUGUUUUGCAAAAGUCCAACUAACAUAUUAGUGCUCUAUUUAAGAGCCAUGUAUAAUACACUAAUUUUGUCCGCUUUAGAUGCGCCAGCAUAUGCAAUUUACAGAAUUGUGAUAUCCUUUUUCAUUGCUGAGUUACAGAGUUGUAAACUUGACAGUGUGGCUUUCUGAAAAUUAGCCGAUUUUCUACAAUUUUUAUAAAAAAACUUGACGGCCUAAAUUAAGCAUUCGCUACCAACAGUGACUAUAUUUUAAGUUCUUCUUUUAAAUGCCACAAACCCCAUCAAAUUUGGAGCAGUGGUUGCCGAGAAAAACGAUUUCUCCUAGCUUUCCCAUGUAUUCAGAUAGGAGCCCCCGUGCUAAAGCUACCAAUGCUCGUAAAUCGGAGGGGCCAAAGAAACUGAAACAAAAUAUUGUUUGUGGUGAGUACUUUCUAAAUAUCAUAUGCUUUAAAUUGUUAUAUAUGAGAAACUAAACAGAUAUAUGUUCGAACUUUGUUGAGUUUUGCAAAGUCCACAUUCAAACUCUUCCAGAUGGCGCCACAACGGCUCGCCAAACGCGCGCGGUGCGAAUACGAAAGUUCGUCAACUGUGAGAUACGAGCGCGGGAAACUGCUGCCUGUGGGCAAGCUGGUGCCGGCUUGACAGCUCAACGUUUUCCGUUUGUGCUUACGAGGCGGCGUUACUUGAGAGAAGAUAAUAAUACUUUGAUGCUCUUCUCACGCCUACAAAUGAGGGCGACGUGAUAAACAGCACAGCACGCGAAAGGGUACGUGAACGCCAACGAACGGCGUGCCGCCAACAACUGCAUGGGCUGUCACUUCAGUGUAUUCUUCCCGCCUUUGGAAGAAGCAUUUUGGACUAAAGCUACCUUGAUAUGUACAAAACAUGGGAGACUACGUGCAGGAUUAUGAAUGGCUACCUGAAUGCUGCUUGAAGCAGCCAGCUCUACAGCACCACUCAUGCCCCUUUCCAUGGGUUGGCAAGAGGAGCAGUGGCACACAACUCUACAGGCACUUGUGCUUUUUAUCAUCUUUGGAGGAGAUGUAUUGGCAGCUGCAGGUGGUCCCUUCUCAUACGCCAUGCCAAGGAGUCCUGCAAUCCGAGUCAUGCAUCACUGCCGGUGACUGGUAAUGGUGACAUUUUUUUCAUAUUCAGUAUCAAGAAUGCUUACUUUUCCUAGCCUUUUGUCACUCAUCCCCUCGUUUUUCAAAUGUUAAAGUGUUGCACGUAGGCUGUUCUGUAUUCACACUACUCGAAUAUUUUUUUUCCACAGCCCCAAAUUUUAUUUUAGUUGGACUUUAUAAGCACUUCAAAGCAGCAAAAGCCAACAGUGCACAGUUUAAAGCAGCUGGAGGUGCUGCUUCAUGUGUACCAAUUGUCACACUCACUGCAGAAGGUUGCUGACAAGUAUGGGAUCCCAGUUGUGCUGUUUGACGUUGUGCUGCUAAGCCCGAGGGCACGGGAUGUAAACCUGGCUGUGGUAGCCGCAUUUCAAUGUGGGUGAAAUGCAAAAACACCCAUGUACCAAUUAAGGAACCCCAGGUGGCAACAUUAAUUUGGAGUCCCUCGUACUGCAUGCCUCAUAAUCAUAUCGUGGUUUUGGCACGUAAAACCCCAGAACUUAGUUUAAUUUAACAGUUGGUGCCCUUCGGUUUUCCAAUUUUCUCAUUUUCUUGCUUACAAAAGCUCUGUUCUCGCUACAAAUGACAAAUUCGUGAUUACGGAAGCCGAACUUUCAAUCUAGCUUACCUCAAUAUUUUUCUUUAGCGUACCUUUAACAUGCAUUUAUAGCAUUGAACCUGAAUUAUUUUGCAUUUAUCCAUGUUGGACUUGUGCUCAACAGCUGGAUGGCAUAGAUGCAGAGCUACUACUGUGGGC